RNAcentral lists this unclassified non-coding RNA (350 nucleotides) under soil metagenome. RNAcentral describes it as "partial contains 5.8S ribosomal RNA, internal transcribed spacer 2, and large subunit ribosomal RNA". The stretch from base 1 to 120 matches the Rfam family "5.8S ribosomal RNA", at positions 35 to 154 of the family's 154-position model. The record is from RNAcentral.
GAUGAAGAACGUAGCGAAAUGCGAUAAGUAAUGUGAAUUGCAGAAUUCAGUGAAUCAUCGAAUCUUUGAACGCACAUUGCGCCCGCCAGUAUUCUGGCGGGCAUGCCUGUCCGAGCGUCAUUUCAACCCUCGAACCCCUCCGGGGGGUCGGCGUUGGGGAUCGGCCCUUUACGGGGCCGGCCCCGAAAUACAGUGGCGGUCUCGCCGCAGCCUCUCCUGCGCAGUAGUUUGCACACUCGCAUCGGGAGCGCGGCGCGUCCACAGCCGUUAAACACCCCAAACUUCUGAAAUGUUGACCUCGGAUCAGGUAGGAAUACCCGCUGAACUUAAGCAUAUCAAUAAGCAGAGGA